UAGGGAAUCUUCCACAAUGGACGCAAGUCUGAUGGAGCAACGCCGCGUGAGUGAAGAAGGUUUUCGGACCGUAAAGCUCUGUUGUUGGUGAAGAAGGAUAGAGGUAGUAACUGGCCUUUAUUUGACGGUAAUCAACCAGAAAGUCACGGCUAACUACGUGCCAGCAGCCGCGGUAAUACGUAGGUGGCAAGCGUUGUCCGGAUUUAUUGGGCGUAAAGCGAGCGCAGGCGGAAGAAUAAGUCUGAUGUGAAAGCCCUCGGCUUAACCGAGGAAUUGCAUCGGAAACUGUUUUCUUGAGUGCAGAAGAGGAGAGUAGAACUCCAUGUGUAGCGGUGGAAUGCGUAGAUAUAUGGAAGAAUACCAGUGGCGAAGGCGGCUCUCUGGUCUGCAACUGACGCUGAGGCUCGAAAGCAUGGGUAGCGAACAGGAUUAGAUACCCUUGGUAGUCCAUGCCGUAAACGAUGAGUGCUAAGUGUUG
Molecule: ribosomal RNA, 478 nt
Filed under: uncultured bacterium
Lineage: Bacteria
Description: partial 16S ribosomal RNA
Rfam family: Bacterial small subunit ribosomal RNA
Source: RNAcentral